UGGACAUAGAUAAACUCUAAUACUGUUACAUAACCGGUGUCCUGAGGGCACUCAUGGGAAGAACCCCUUUUUUAAUUAUUGUUGGAAUGUUAUAACUUUUCAUUCAAGUUGAGAGAGGUUACCUACAGUGUGGAUCACUCUUAUACAUGGAAUGAAAAUAGUAACGUUAACAUCCUUAUUUAGAAAUGUGGUAUAGCAAGUGGGUGUAGGUUGGUUUUUUUCAGAUUGCUUAAUGAGAAGAAAAUAGAUUACACGGAUUGCAUAUGUGCUGCAAUAUAGAAAAAUAUUAUAUAAUGGAUUAGAAUGAGAAUAACCACAAAGUUUUCUACUAUCAUAUAAUUAUAAUAAAAUAUUUUCAAUUUUAUAAUACUAUGUUAACUGCUUCAAUACUAUUAAAAAUAUUCAAAUCCUAAAAUUUGAGGCAUAGUAAUGAUAAAAAUAAGAACAUUAUUUGAUAUUUGUGUGCUUGAGAUUGUUUGAUUCUCUACUCAUGGUUGUUUGAAUUUCAGAAUGCUAAUUUAACAUUCCAAAUCACUAACAAUCCAUAAUCUGGAUAGUGCGAUCCAGAACAAAAAUCGCUAAGGGGUGCAACUUUUUUCUGGCAACAUUGAUCAAUUGUACUGUCUUUGAGAAGUACCAGGUUCUGGUAAUUGUACACCUGAAAGGCCUGUAAGGAUGCUUGCAUUAGUAUCUAGAUUGACAUUUUUCUGUCAACUUGGACAUAGAUGUCCGCCAUUAUCAUUGCUAUGGAAAUUGUGUUUGACAAAAUAAAUUGAAUGGAAGUCUUUCUCUUUUUUGACAUCUUCCUUUUCUAUCCUCUCAGGACUGCAGAGACUGGAUCUGCUGGUGUUUAACAUCUGCUUGAGUUGUACUAUUAUGACUGUGGCCUAGUUGUUGAGGAUUGCUUUUCUUGUUUCUGUGGUACGGAGCCUUUAUUAGUUUCUAUUAUCUGCCGCAGUUUUUCUUGGUGUUUGAUGAUGGGUAUACUAGCACACAGCUUGGAUGGAGAAUGGAGGGUUCUCUGAAGUCAAUUUGUUUUGGUUCUCUCGUCCACCAUUAUCAUUGUGAAUUGUUUUGGAUUGUAGUAAUCUUUUAGCUGCCUCUGUGCAGGGAAAACAAAAAAGCAAGUUAGUUUUUUUGUCUAUUAUUAUGUAAUCUGUUAUACAGUUCAUCGGAAAUGAUCAAACAUUUACUGGGAUUAUCUGUUGAUGAUUGUGUGAAAUGAAUGAAAUUUUUGGAUGUUAUUUGGCA
Molecule: unclassified non-coding RNA, 1251 nt
Filed under: Hevea brasiliensis (rubber tree)
Lineage: Eukaryota; Viridiplantae; Streptophyta; Magnoliopsida; Malpighiales; Euphorbiaceae
Source: RNAcentral